Molecule: RNA transcript, 2509 nt
Organism: Abrus precatorius (Indian licorice)
Lineage: Eukaryota; Viridiplantae; Streptophyta; Magnoliopsida; Fabales; Fabaceae
Gene name: probable aspartic protease At2g35615
Exons: 11
Source: RefSeq, a predicted model, not a curated record
CAGUUGCUCGAGGCACAUAAUCGUUUGACUUCCCUCCUUUCUUCUUUGUGAUUUGAGAGGGAGAGAGUUAUGGCGGGGGCAUGGUCUCAGCUCAUCUCCAUCGUGUUGUUGUCCCUAAUUCUACACCUUACGCGGUGUGUGGAUGUUUCUAGUGCUCCCACCAACGUGUUUCUCUUACAAAGUGAUCAGGAGAACUCUCGUCUCGCCAUGAUUCUCCCUCUUCAUUUCUCUGUUCCCGAUUCUUCCAUAUCCGACUUCAAUCCACGUCGUCAACUCCAGAGAUCGCACUCCAAACGCCAUCCUAAUGCUCGUAUGAGACUCUACGACGAUCUCCUUCGAAACGGAUACUAUACCACGCGGCUUUGGAUCGGUACUCCUCCACAGAGGUUUGCUCUUAUUGUUGAUACGGGGAGUACUGUUACGUAUGUCCCGUGCUCUACUUGCCAACACUGUGGUAGACAUCAGGAUCCGAAGUUCCAGCCAGAAGAGUCAAAAACCUAUCAACCUGUAAAAUGCACAUCGAAUUGCAAUUGUGACAAUAGCAGGAUGCAAUGCAUGUAUGAGAGACGGUAUGCUGAAAAGAGUACUAGCAUUGGGGUCCUGGGCGAGGAUGUUGUUUCCUUUGGAAAUCAUAGUGAGCUUUCCCCCCAACGUGCUGUUUUUGGCUGUGAAAAUGUUGAGACUGGUGAUAUUUAUCGUCAACGUGCUGAUGGUAUCAUGGGUUUGGGCCGUGGAGAUCUUAGCAUAAUGGAUCAACUGGUUGAGAAAAAGGUAAUAAGUGAUUCAUUCUCACUGUGCUAUGGUGGAAUGGGUGUUGGUGGGGGUGCUAUGGUUCUUGGUGGCAUAUCUGCCCCAGCUGGCAUGGUCUUUUCACAUUCAGAUCCUGUUCGAAGUUUUGGGAUGGCGACAGUCCAUAUUACAAUAUCAAUUUGAAGGAGAUACAUGUUGCGGGGAAGCGAUUGCAUCUGAACCCAAAGGUUUUUGAUGGGAAACAUGGAACUGUCUUGGAUAGUGGCACAACUUAUGCAUACCUACCAGAAGCUGCAUUUCUUGCAUUUAAACAUGCUAUUAUGAAGGAACUUCACUCUUUGAAGCAAAUCAGUGGUCCAGAUCCAAAUUACAAAGAUAUAUGUUUUUCUGGUGGUGGAAUUGAUGUGUCUCAACUCUCCAAAAGCUUUCCAGUGGUUGAUAUGGUAUUUGGAAAUGGUCACAAGUUGUCACUGUCACCAGAAAACUACUUGUUUAGGCAUUCAAAAGCCCGAGGUGCAUAUUGUCUUGGGAUUUUCUCAAAUGGAAAGGAUCAAACUACUCUUUUAGGAGGUAUUAUUGUCCGUAACACUCUUGUAAUGUAUGAUCGUGAGCAUACAAAAAUUGGUUUCUGGAAAACUAAUUGUUCUGAGUUAUGGGAAAGACUACACGUCACUGAUGCCCCACCACCAGUGCCUCCAAUUUUAGGAAGAACUAAUUUAACCAAAGGAUUUGAGCCUUCCAUUGCUCCAUCUGCAUCACAGUUUACUUUACGUGAAGGUGAACUCCAAAUUGCUCAAAUAAUAAUUGUAAUUUCAUUUAACAUCAGCUACAUGGAUAUGAAGCCUUACAUUACAGAUUUGGCUGGACUCAUAGCUCACGAGUUAGAUGUUAAUACUUCACAGGUUCAGUUGAUGAAUUUUUCUUCCUUUGGAAAUGGUUCACUCUCUAGAUGGGUCAUAACCCCAAGGCCAUAUGCAGAUUUCUUUUCUAACACCACUGCUAUGGUAAGUUGAAUUUGUUCAUUUGCAUGUAUGCAGACUGCCAAUUUGAUGAGGAUUUUCAAUGUAACAGAGUAUAAUUGCCCGGGUUUCUGAACAUCGUAUGCAACUUCCUGGCACAUUUGGAAGUUAUAAGUUACUUGAUUGGAAUCUUGAGCCUUCGAUGAAACGGACUUGGUGGCAGCAAUAUUAUUUGGUUGUGGCUUUAGCUGUUUUGCUUACAUUGCUUCUAGGAGUAUCAGCCUUGGGAAUACUCUUAAUUUGGAAAAACAGACAACAAGCUAGGCACUUGUACAAGCCAAUUGAUGUAGCUGUUCCAGAGCAGGAGCUUCAGCCAUUAUGAGCUUCGCUUGUGCUACUGCUGCUUAGUCGUUUGCCUGAUUGGUGUGGUUGGCAUAUUCCAGUCUAUAAACGAGCAAUUUAUGCAACCAUGGUCACUCAACUAAUCAAGAUUUUCGUUUCCAAGAAAUCAAGCAGUCUAUCAUGAUAUACCGAAACCCUGAUAGAUGUAUAUAGAAAUAAUUCUUUAGUAGAAGUUGUAUAAUUUGCAUACUCAAUUUUGUUUGCGAUUAUUGCAAAAUAAACGGUGAAUCACAGGGUGAUGUUUACAUUUUUAUUUAGCUGGUGCUUUCUACUUGGUUCAUAAUUUUUUUUUUCUGUUCAUGUUUUUUCUAGCUAGCGAGUGUUAUUAUUAUAAUAUGUUGUCCAAGAAACAAUCAUCUGCAUUCAUGUAUCAGUCCAUUCAUUAAUCAUUAGUAGUU